Molecule: ribosomal RNA, 565 nt
Filed under: uncultured bacterium
Lineage: Bacteria
Description: bacterial SSU rRNA
Rfam family: Bacterial small subunit ribosomal RNA
Source: RNAcentral
CCUACGGGAGGCAGCAGUGGGGAAUCUUGCGCAAUGGGGGGCAACCCUGACGCGGCCAUGCCGCGUGAAUGAUGAAGGCCUUAGGGUUGUAAAGUUCUUUUGCCCGUGACGAUGAUGACGGUAACGGGAGAAUAAGCUCCGGCUAACUUCGUGCCAGCAGCCGCGGUAAUACGAAGGGGGCUAGCGUUGUUCGGAAUUACUGGGCGUAAAGCGCGCGCAGGCGGUUCGAUAAGUUAGGGGUGAAAUCCCUGGGCUCAACCCAGGAAUGGCCUUUAAGACUGUCGAGCUAGAGGACGAGAGAGGUGAGUGGAAUUCCCAGUGUAGAGGUGAAAUUCGUAGAUAUUGGGAAGAACACCGGUGGCGAAGGCGGCUCGACUGGCUCGUUUCUGACGCUGAGGCGCGAAAGCGUGGGGAGCAAACAGGAUUAGAUACCCUGGUAGUCCACGCCCUAAACGAUGAGUGCCAGGUGUCGGGAAGCUUAGCUUCUCGGCGCCGCAGCUAACGCCUUAAGCACUCCGCCUGGGGAGUACGGCCGCAAGGUUAAAACCUUAAAGGAAUUAGACGG